UCUUAUGUACAUGCCUACAACAUAGAGUUAAUGUACUGGAACCCAUUAAAACUUUACAGGUAAGUGUGCUCGGGCUAGAGUAGUACAAGGAUGGGUGACCGCCUGGGAAGUCCUAGUGUUUUACAUGCC
Non-coding RNA from Picea glauca (white spruce), 129 nucleotides. The record is from Rfam. NCBI's taxonomy places the organism in Eukaryota, Viridiplantae, Streptophyta, Pinopsida, Pinales, Pinaceae.